GAUGAACGCUAGCGGCGUGCCUAAUGCAUGCAAGUCGAACGGGAUCCUUGGAUUCGUCUGAGGUGAGAGUGGCGAACGGGGUGAGUAACACGUUGGUGACCUGCCUUAGAGAGGGGGAUAACUAUUGGAAACGAUGGCUAAUACCCCAGAUGUCAAGGCUUUUAGAAAACCUUGACUAAAGCUUCGGCGCUCUAAGAGGGGCCUGCGGCCCAUCAGCUAGUUGGUGAGGUAAUGGGCUCACCAAGGGCUAAGACGGGUAGGGGGCGUGAGAGCGUGACCCCCCCACACUGGUACUGAGACACGGACCAGAUACCUGCGGGUAGCAGCAGCAAGGAAUAUUGCGCAAUCGACGAAAGUCGGACGCAGCAACGCCGCGUGAAGGAUGAAGGCCUUCGGGUUGUAAACUCUUUCUGGGGGAAGAGAAAGGACGGUACCCCAGGAAUAAGUCUCGGCUAACUACGUGCCAGCAGCCGCGGUAAAUGUAGACGUCC
This 491-nucleotide ribosomal RNA is filed under the name uncultured bacterium. RNAcentral describes it as "bacterial SSU rRNA". It matches the Rfam family "Bacterial small subunit ribosomal RNA", at positions 28 to 536 of the family's 1533-position model. The record is from RNAcentral.